This is a non-coding RNA of Macaca mulatta (Rhesus monkey), 45 nucleotides long. Lineage: Eukaryota; Metazoa; Chordata; Mammalia; Primates; Cercopithecidae. The record is from Rfam.
UUAAUGGAUUUUCUAAAAUCCAUUAAAAUACAUAUUUUGGAAAAG